Molecule: long non-coding RNA, 1434 nt
Filed under: Linum usitatissimum (flax)
Lineage: Eukaryota; Viridiplantae; Streptophyta; Magnoliopsida; Malpighiales; Linaceae
Description: long non-coding RNA (LUSI_LNC003899)
Source: RNAcentral
CUUUACAGAAAUGUCAAAGCUCUUUUUUUCCGUCAGGCACGUGCUUCGCUUUUAAUCUUCAUCAACGGAACGGGGUAAUCAACGUCAAAUCGGGGCAGUCGGCGAAUCAAGCCGUGUAUGAGUCGAUGUAUGUUCGGUUCUGAAAAGUAUGUUUUAAGAUUUUGUUCGGUAUUCGACGCUCGCCAGAUCGAAUUAAUUAGGCUUUAUUUAUGGAGCUUGCAAGCUAACUUGUGAAAUGGCUAGUGAGAUUCUGUGGUAUAUCGCUAGCUAGAUAGAAAAAAAAAUUGGGAUCGAGUCAUGGCUCAACUAAUAAACUUGAUUAAUCAAGCUCACAAGCUGGCUAAAUUUAGGCUUGUGAAGUGAUUUGAUUAUCGAGUUUACUAGCGGAUUUGAAUUGGGCUCAUGUAGUAGUGGCUGAUUAUGAAGCUAGCAAGAUUCUAAUUUUCUUAGUGAAUCUAGAAAAAUCAAGGUAAUUAUCAUUUUGGUCACUUGCCUGUCAAUAUUGUACAUUCGGGUCACAAAUCGAGUCACUCUGACCCUAUCUCCUCCACUUUCUUUCCUUUAAGGGUUGACAACAUCCCAGUCACCCAUCCCAAUUAGCAAACUUAAUAUAAAAUAUAAAAUAUUUAUAUGUUAAUUAAAUAUUAUUUUUAUUUUUUACAUAAAUAGCUCGCAAUUCCUAAAUGAAAGAGAUAGUCUUAGUGCAUAAGUUAGAUGUCUUUGAUCCCUACACUAAAUUAUACGACACAAUAUAAACUAUAACAUGUUCAUUUCUAUAACUUGUAUUCGUAUUUAUCUAAUUCCUUUAUUUCGUAUUAAUUUGUGCCUACCGAAAUAAAAUAUCCAGCUCAUCUUCCAAUUUUCCUUUUUAUUAACGAGUUGGCCCCGGGUCUUCAAAACUUUACAGAAAUGUCAAAUACUCAUCACUCAUUUUUACCCACGUGUUUCAUUAAUCUUUAAUCACUAUUGUAACUACAUAGAUUUUCUUAUAGAAAAAAACAAAUCAAAUUAAAGAACUGAACAAACACAGAGACUUGGCCUCCCUCGCCGUCGCCGCCGCCAAUCACAGCGCGAUUCCGUUGUCGUCGUGAACUUUGGCGCCGGAGAUGACCGAGUCGGCCUUAUUAUUCAACCCCCAGAAAGGAAAACAAGCAGAAGCAGAGUUUCCGUCGUGUUUCUCAUCUUUCUUCUUCUGGGUUUUCUUCAUCUCCUCUUCACGGCGUUUGACCUUGUCCUUGUAAAUCUUCGCCAUCACGUAAGCUUCCGCAAGGCCGUUCCCUGACAUUCCCAUGCUCGCCAUGAACUCUUCUGAUUUCUGAAUACGGAGAAGCUUGAGAUGAAGGGUUUAAAUGAAAGGGCGCGAGUUUUGUGAGGAAGAAAGUCGGGAGGGUUUUGUGGUAUUUAUAGGCAAAAUAUGAGUACGCUCCUGUUCCC